AUCGCUUCUCGGCCUUUUGGCUAAGAUCAAGUGUACUCUUCCUUUUAUAAGUUGAUCAUUGUUUACAUUAAUAUAAAAAUGUGGAUUUAGGAUGGGUUUCAAUCCAUUAUGAAAACUAUAUAUAUUGGAGUUCCAAUUGUCCUAUGUUGGAUACAUGAAA
Small nuclear RNA from Heterocephalus glaber (naked mole-rat), 160 nucleotides. Its record names the gene U2. It matches the Rfam family "U2 spliceosomal RNA". From Rfam's summary of the family: U2 is a small nuclear RNA (snRNA) component of the spliceosome (involved in pre-mRNA splicing). NCBI's taxonomy places the organism in Eukaryota, Metazoa, Chordata, Mammalia, Rodentia, Bathyergidae. The record is from Ensembl.